GAUGAACGCUAGCGGUAGGCCUAACACAUGCAAGCCGAGCGGUAUUUGUUCUUCGGAACAGAGAGAGCGGCGCACGGGUGCGGAACACGUGUGCAACCUGCCUUUAUCUGGGGGAUAGCCUUUCGAAAGGAAGAUUAAUACCCCAUAAUAUAUUGAGUGGCAUCACUUGAUAUUGAAAACUCCGGUGGAUAGAGAUGGGCACGCGCAAGAUUAGAUAGUUGGUGAGGUAACGGCUCACCAAGUCAAUGAUCUUUAGGGGGCCUGAGAGGGUGAUCCCCCACACUGGUACUGAGACACGGACCAGAAUCCUACGGGAGGCAGCAGUGAGGAAUAUUGGACAAUGGGUUAGCGCCUGAUCCAGCCAUCCCGCGUGAAGGACGACGGCCCUAUGGGUUGUAAACUUCUUUUGUAUAGGGAUAAACCUACUCUCGUGAGAGUAGCUGAAGGUACUAUACGAAUAAGCACCGGCUAACUCCGUG
Molecule: ribosomal RNA, 479 nt
Filed under: uncultured bacterium
Lineage: Bacteria
Description: partial 16S ribosomal RNA
Rfam family: Bacterial small subunit ribosomal RNA
Source: RNAcentral